GAUCAGAUCAAGCGCGAAAAGGGCGUUUGGUGGAUGCCUAGGCAGUAAGAGGCGAUGAAGGACGUGGUACCCUGCGUUAAGCCAUGGGGAGCCGGGAACAGGCUUUGAUCCAUGGAUAUCCGAAUGGGGAAACCCACCUGAAUGUUUGUUGUAAUUACCUCUGGUAGCUUACAGCAGGCAUGAACAGGUACUAAUUACCUGAAUACAUAGGGUUUUUAGAGCAAACCCGGGGAACUGAAACAUCUAAGUACCCGGAGGAAAGGACAUCAAUAGAGACUCCGUUAGUAGUGGCGAGCGAACGCGGAUCAG
RNAcentral lists this ribosomal RNA (309 nucleotides) under Pseudogemmobacter faecipullorum. RNAcentral's name for it is "partial 23S ribosomal RNA". It matches the Rfam family "Bacterial large subunit ribosomal RNA", at positions 1 to 267 of the family's 2925-position model. Lineage: Bacteria; Pseudomonadati; Pseudomonadota; Alphaproteobacteria; Rhodobacterales; Paracoccaceae. The record is from RNAcentral.